Molecule: ribosomal RNA, 417 nt
Filed under: uncultured Methylomirabilota bacterium
Lineage: Bacteria; Methylomirabilota (SeqCode)
Description: bacterial SSU rRNA
Rfam family: Bacterial small subunit ribosomal RNA
Source: RNAcentral
GCCGAAAGGCAGGAGUGCCCGCAAGGGAGCGCGGAGACAGGUGGUGCAUGGCUGUCGUCAGCUCGUGUCGUGAGAUGUUGGGUUAAGUCCCGCAACGAGCGCAACCCUCACCCCUUGUUGCUACCAGGUAAAGCUGGGCACUCUAGGGGAACUGCCCCGGUCAACGGGGAGGAAGGCGGGGAUGACGUCAAGUCAUCAUGCCCCUUACGUCCUGGGCUACACACGUGCUACAAUGGCCGGUACAAAGGGAUGCCACACCGUGAGGUAGAGCUAAACCCAAAAAGCCGGUCUAAGUUCAGAUUGGAGUCUGCAACUCGACUCCAUGAAGGAGGAAUCGCUAGUAAUCGCGUAUCAGCACGACGCGGUGAAUACGUUCCCGGGCCUUGUACACACCGCCCGUCACACCACGAAGGCCAG